Molecule: ribosomal RNA, 497 nt
Filed under: uncultured bacterium
Lineage: Bacteria
Description: partial 16S ribosomal RNA
Rfam family: Bacterial small subunit ribosomal RNA
Source: RNAcentral
GAUGAACGCUGGCGGCGUGCCUAAUACAUGCAAGUCGAGCGAACAGACGAGGAUCUUGCUCCUCUGACGUUAGCGGCGGACGGGUGAGUAACACGUGGAUAACCUACCUAUAAGACUGGGAUAACUUCGGGAAACCGGAGCUAAUACCGUAUAAUAUAUUGAACCGCAUGGUUCAAUAGUGAAAUACGGUUUUUCUGUCACUUAUAGAUGGAUCCGCGCCGCAUUAGCUAGUUGGUAAGGUAACGGCUUACCAAGGCGACGAUGCGUAGCCGACCUGAGAGGGUGAUAGGCAACACGGGAACUGAGACACGGUCAAGACUCCUAAGGGAGGCAGCAGUAGGGAAUCGGCCGCAAUGGGCGAAAGCCUGACGGAGCAACGCCGCGUGAGUGAUGAAGGUCUUCGGAGCGUAAAAAUCGGUUAUUAGGGAAGAACAAAUGUGUAAGUAACUAUGCACGUCCUGACGGUACCUAAUCAGAAAGCCACGGCUAACUACGUG